Suncus etruscus (white-toothed pygmy shrew) is the source of this 140-nucleotide small nucleolar RNA. RefSeq annotates it as small nucleolar RNA SNORA48. The record is from RefSeq and is a predicted model, not a curated record. Lineage: Eukaryota; Metazoa; Chordata; Mammalia; Eulipotyphla; Soricidae. The transcript has a single exon.
UGUUCCCUGUGCCUUGUGAUCGAGGGGGCACGCGGUCAGUGGUGCCCAGCUCAUAGCAGCCAGGGACAGAGCAAUUCCUUGUUCAUCCCAGCAUUGCUUUUGGUCUGUGCUCUUGCUUGGUUCAUGCCCUGGAUAUAUAU